AUUGAACGCUGGCGGCAGGCCUAACACAUGCAAGUCGAGCGGAUGACGGGAGCUUGCUCCUUGAUUCAGCGGCGGACGGGUGAGUAAUGCCUAGGAAUCUGCCUGGUAGUGGGGGACAACGUUUCGAAAGGAACGCUAAUACCGCAUACGUCCUACGGGAGAAAGCAGGGGACCUUCGGGCCUUGCGCUAUCAAAUGAGCCUAGGUCGGAUUAGCUAGUUGGUGGGGUAAUGGCUCACCAAGGCGACGAUCCGUAACUGGUCUGAGAGGAUGAUCAGUCACACUGGAACUGAGACACGGUCCAGACUCCUACGGGAGGCAGCAGUGGGGAAUAUUGGACAAUGGGCGAAAGCCUGAUCCAGCCAUGCCGCGUGUGUGAAGAAGGUCUUCGGAUUGUAAAGCACUUUAAGUUGGGAGGAAGGGCAGUAAGCUAAUACCUUGCUGUUUUGACGUUACCGACAGAAUAAGCACCGGCUAACUCUGUG
This 484-nucleotide ribosomal RNA is filed under the name uncultured bacterium. RNAcentral describes it as "bacterial SSU rRNA". It matches the Rfam family "Bacterial small subunit ribosomal RNA", at positions 30 to 507 of the family's 1533-position model. The record is from RNAcentral.